Molecule: ribosomal RNA, 447 nt
Filed under: uncultured bacterium
Lineage: Bacteria
Description: bacterial SSU rRNA
Rfam family: Bacterial small subunit ribosomal RNA
Source: RNAcentral
GCCAGACUCCUACGGGAGGCAGCAGUGGGGAAUAUUGCACAAUGGGGGAAACCCUGAUGCAGCGACGCCGCGUGAGUGAAGAAGUAUUUCGGUAUGUAAAGCUCUAUCAGCAGGAACGAGACAAGACGGUACCUGACUAAGAAGCCCCGGCUAACUACGUGCCAGCAGCCGCGGUAAUACGUAGGGGGCAAGCGUUAUCCGGAAUCACUGGGUGUAAAGGGAGCGUAGACGGCUGAGCAAGCCUGAAGUGAAAGGCGGGGGCCCAACCCCCGGACUGCUUUGGGAACUGUACGGCUGGAGUGCAGGAGAGGUAAGUGGAAUUCCUAGUGUAGCGGUGAAAUGCGUAGAUAUUAGGAGGAACACCAGUGGCGAAGGCGGCUUACUGGACUGUAACUGACGUUGAGGCUCGAAAGCGUGGGGAGCAAACAGGAUUAGAUACCCGAGUAC